AUUGAACGCUGGCGGCAUGCUUUACACAUGCAAGUCGAACGGCAGCGCGGGCUUCGGCCUGGCGGCGAGUGGCGAACGGGUGAGUAAUGCAUCGGAACGUGCCCAGUAGUGGGGGAUAGCCCGGCGAAAGCCGGAUUAAUACCGCAUACGACCUGAGGGUGAAAGCGGGGGACCGAAAGGCCUCGCGCUAUUGGAGCGGCCGAUGUCGGAUUAGCUAGUUGGUGGGGUAAAGGCUUACCAAGGCGACGAUCCGUAGCUGGUCUGAGAGGACGACCAGCCACACUGGAACUGAGACACGGCCCAGACUCCUACGGGAGGCAGCAGUGGGGAAUUUUGGACAAUGGGGGCAACCCUGAUCCAGCCAUGCCGCGUGCGGGAAGAAGGCCUUCGGGUUGUAAAACGCUUUUGUUCGGGAAGAAAUCCUCUGGGCUAAUACCCCGGGGGGGUGACGGUACCGGAAGAAUAAGCACCGGCUAACUACGUG
This 484-nucleotide ribosomal RNA is filed under the name uncultured bacterium. RNAcentral's name for it is "partial 16S ribosomal RNA". It matches the Rfam family "Bacterial small subunit ribosomal RNA", at positions 29 to 507 of the family's 1533-position model. The record is from RNAcentral.